UACGUAGGGUGCGAGCGUUGUCCGGAAUUAUUGGGCGUAAAGGGCUCGUAGGCGGUUUGUCGCGUCUGCUGUGAAAAUCCAGGGCUUAACCCUGGACCUGCAGUGGGUACGGGCAGACUAGAGUGCGGUAGGGGAGAUCGGAAUUCCGGGUGGAGUGGUGAAAUGCGUAGAGAUCCGGAGGAACACCAAAGGCGAAGGCAGUGUCCUGGGGAGUAACUGACGCUGAGGAGCGAAAGCGUGGGGAGCGAACAGG
This 253-nucleotide ribosomal RNA is filed under the name uncultured bacterium. Its description in RNAcentral is "partial 16S ribosomal RNA". It matches the Rfam family "Bacterial small subunit ribosomal RNA", at positions 524 to 776 of the family's 1533-position model. The record is from RNAcentral.